Suricata suricatta (meerkat) is the source of this 815-nucleotide long non-coding RNA. RefSeq lists it as uncharacterized. The record is from RefSeq and is a predicted model, not a curated record. The transcript is spliced from 4 exons. Lineage: Eukaryota; Metazoa; Chordata; Mammalia; Carnivora; Herpestidae.
AGUUGAGCCAGUCUCCACUUGCAGAGGCCCCUUCCAAGUUUCUCCUUCUCUUGCUCUGGGAAGCUCACAUUCUCAUCUUGGUUGCACCCUGUAUUAUCUUGCUCAGGCUGCCAAACACCACAGACUGACUGGGUUGCUUAAAGAGAACUUUAUCUUCUCAUAGUUCUGGAUGCUGGAAGUCCAAGAUCAAGGUGUCCCAUUCUUCUAUGGACCACACAACGGCAGGAACCAGUGUCUGGACAUAGAGGUGGAACGGGUUUUCCCCACAACUACGAGAAAUCUCUGACAGUUUCACUUCUCAGCAGAUGAGGCCCUAGUUGUGCCUGUCACAUGAGUCAGAGGUUCCUGACUGGACAUGUUCCCCAGCACAGCGCAUUCUGUAUAGAACACUCCCUUUCCUCAGGAUAAACAGCCAUUCACCUCCACAGAUCCUACUGUGUGCAACUUCUGGUGAGGGGCAAUCCACUGUUUUGUUAAGGUUGAAAAUCCAACACAGACCUGACCCUGGGAACAUACAAUCAUUUCUGACAGUCUAAAGGUUGACUAAAUAAAUGCAGAAAGCCCUCCAGGACCACACAGCCUGGUCUCAGGUCCAACAGAACCUGCCCAUUUCCUGAGGAUCAGCUUUACCCAUUGUUGCCUUCAAGAUCAAGAGUUCACCUUGAACGAACAUCCCUGUUAUUGGAGAUGGCAGGAUACAGAGUCACCCUCUCCAGCCAGUAGCACCAUUGGGGAAGGAGGUGUGUAUAAAAUAUGGAUCCUCAUGGAAGGAAACAUUCUGAAGGAUCAGAAUAUAUUUGACUCAUGCCACAUAA